This 1165-nucleotide ribosomal RNA is filed under the name uncultured bacterium. RNAcentral describes it as "bacterial SSU rRNA". It matches the Rfam family "Bacterial small subunit ribosomal RNA", at positions 8 to 1184 of the family's 1533-position model. The record is from RNAcentral.
AGAGUUUGAUCCUGGCUCAGAUUGAACGCUGGCGGCAGGCCUAACACAUGCAAGUCGAACGGUAACAUUUCUAGCUUGCUAGAAGAUGACGAGUGGCGGACGGGUGAGUAAUGCUUGGGAACUUGCCUUCAGGAGGGGGAUAACAGUUGGAAACGACUGCUAAUACCGCAUAAUGUCUACGGACCAAAGCGGGCUUUUAGCUCGCACCUGAAGAGAGGCCCAAGUGAGAUUAGCUAGUUGGUAAGGUAAAGGCUUACCAAGGCGACGAUCUCUAGCUGUUCUGAGAGGAAGAUCAGCCACACUGGGACUGAGACACGGCCCAGACUCCUACGGGAGGCAGCAGUGGGGAAUAUUGCACAAUGGGGGAAACCCUGAUGCAGCCAUGCCGCGUGUGUGAAGAAGGCCUUCGGGUUGUAAAGCACUUUCAGUUGUGAGGAAAGGUUGGUAGUUAAUACCUGUCAGCUGUGACGUUAACAACAGAAGAAGCACCGGCUAACUCCGUGCCAGCAGCCGCGGUAAUACGGAGGGUGCGAGCGUUAAUCGGAAUUACUGGGCGUAAAGCGCACGCAGGCGGUUUGUUAAGCUAGAUGUGAAAGCCCCGGGCUCAACCUGGGAUGGUCAUUUAGAACUGGCAGACUAGAGUCUUGGAGAGGGGAGUGGAAUUCCAGGUGUAGCGGUGAAAUGCGUAGAUAUCUGGAGGAACAUCAGUGGCGAAGGCGGCUCCCUGGCCAAAGACUGACGCUCAUGUGCGAAAGUGUGGGUAGCGAACAGGAUUAGAUACCCUGGUAGUCCACACCGUAAACGCUGUCUACUAGCUGUUUGUGAAUUUAAUUCGUGAGUAGCGAAGCUAACGCGCUAAGUAGACCGCCUGAGAGUACGGCCGCAAGGUUAAAACUCAAAUGAAUUGACGGGGCCCGCACAAGCGGUGGAGCAUGUGUUUAAUUCGAUGCAACGCGAAGAACCUUACCUACACUUGACAUGCAUAGACUUUCCAGAGAUGGAAUUGUGCCUUUCGUACUCUUGACACAAGGUGCUGCAUGCUGUCGUCAGCUUCAGUCUUGAAUGCUUGGUUAAGUCCGGCAACGAAGCAAGCAUUGUCUUAUGGCAGCAUUUGUUGGAACUCUAAGGACUGCGGUACAAACGUAGAAGGCGGGGAACAGAAACG